Molecule: non-coding RNA, 74 nt
Organism: Podarcis lilfordi (Lilford's wall lizard)
Lineage: Eukaryota; Metazoa; Chordata; Lepidosauria; Squamata; Lacertidae
Source: the annotation of a GenBank genome assembly
GAAGGGCUGUAACUCUGGGACAGAGCACCUGCCUUGCAUGUAGAAGUUCCCAGGUUCAAUCCCUGGCAGCUUCU